GAUGAACGCUGGCGGCGUGCCUAAUACAUGCAAGUCGAGCGAACAGAUGAGGAUCUUGCUCCUCUGACGUUAGCGGCGGACGGGUGAGUAACACGUGGAUAACCUACCUAUAAGACUGGGAUAACUUCGGGAAACCGGAGCUAAUACCGGAUAAUAUAUUGAACCGCAUGGUUCAAUAGUGAAAGACGGUUUUGCUGUCACUUAUAGAUGGAUCCGCGCCGCAUUAGCUAGUUGGUAAGGUAACGGCUUACCAAGGCAACGAUGCGUAGCCGACCUGAGAGGGUGAUCGGCCACACUGGAACUGAGACACGGUCCAGACUCCUACGGGAGGCAGCAGUAGGGAAUCUUCCGCAAUGGGCGAAAGCCUGACGGAGCAACGCCGCGUGAGUGAUGAAGGUCUUCGGAUCGUAAAACUCUGUUAUUAGGGAAGAACAAAUGUGUAAGUAACUAUGCACGUCUUGACGGUACCUAAUCAGAAAGCCACGGCUAACUACGUG
RNAcentral lists this ribosomal RNA (497 nucleotides) under uncultured bacterium. Its description in RNAcentral is "partial 16S ribosomal RNA". It matches the Rfam family "Bacterial small subunit ribosomal RNA", at positions 28 to 507 of the family's 1533-position model. The record is from RNAcentral.